RNAcentral lists this unclassified non-coding RNA (1785 nucleotides) under Polistes fuscatus (common paper wasp). Its description in RNAcentral is "tropomodulin, transcript variant X4". Lineage: Eukaryota; Metazoa; Arthropoda; Insecta; Hymenoptera; Vespidae. The record is from RNAcentral.
UGGGGAAAUGCGCAGAAACUUUCUCCAUGAACCGAGCGCGUCCACUAUAGUCCAUUUGUCUUAACUCUUCCGCCACCAUCCAUUUUAUAUCGACCAUUGUAUUUAUUGGUUAUCAAAAUAAUUUCGUAAAAAUCGAUUAAAUCGAAUUAACGAAAUAUCGUCAAAUAAAUCCGAAUAAUUGAAAGAAAAUUAUAACUUAGUAAGAUCUUGAAUAUAAAAUAGUAUAGAAUAAAAUGAAAAAAAAAGAUAUGAUGAUUUUCGUUGCAUUCUCGUCGAGUUGGUUAGUGUACGAUUGUUAGCAUAAAUAAAGUGUAAGCGUCAAAGGGCGCUGCCGCAAUCAUCAUCCACAAACGUUGGACUAUACUGGUCAGUGAAGUUGUACGUCUAUCGUGACUAUAGUGGGCGAGGUUUUUUUUUUCCCACACUACCAAAUUCACAUCGUGAUAUCAUAGCGGAAAAUACCAAUUAGUAUUCGGCCACGGAUCGUAAGAAAUCCAAACGAUCACUUCUGCGUCAACCAAAACAACCACCAUGACAACAGCCGCUAAGCUAUAUGGCAAGGAUUUAAGCGAAUACGAAGAUGUCGAUGUUGACGAAUUGCUGGCGCAGCUAACACCCGAAGAAAUCAAUAUACUUGCCAAGGAAGUCGAUCCAGAUGACAGUUUUAUGCCUCCAUCACAGCGUUGCAGCUAUGAGUGCGACAAGAGCCCGACGGGUCCUCUUAACCGAAAGAAACUCAUCGAACACAUUAACAAACAGGCUUUGGAAACACCGGAUAGACCAGAAUUAAAACCCUAUGUACCUGGAGUUAUUAGAGGAAAAAAAUGGAUCCCACCUGCUCAGGAUAGCGCGAAAGAAAAAGAAGUGGAUGAGCAAAUUGCGAUAGAUCUUGGAGAAGAAUACGAACAAGCAUUGUCGAACGCGUCUCAAGAAGAAAUUAUUGAUCUUGCAGCCAUUCUUGGGUUCCACUCUAUGAUGAACCAGGAUCAAUAUCACGCAUCUUUAUUAAAUUCUGGACAGCCCGUGGGAUUGGGCUGGGAUGGAGUGACGAAAGCUAGUCAACCAAAACCUUAUCCAAUGGAACCGCCUAAUGACACGGACGUUGAUGCAACUAUCAAACAAGUUAGAGAUGACGAUUCUAAGCUAACCGAAUUAAACUGGAAUAAUAUUAAAAAUAUCUCGGACGAGAAAUUUAUCCAGUUGUUCGAAGGAUUAGAAGGAAAUACGCAUCUCGAGUCUUUGAGUUUAACAAAUGUUGGACUUAACGACAAAACUGCCCAAAGGUUGGCAGAUGCCAUGGAGAAAAACUCUACGCUUAGAGUAUUAAACGUGGAAACAAAUUUCAUAAGCCCACCUGUGAUAGUCAGGCUCAUUAGAGCCCUUCUAAAAACCAAAUCGAUCGAAGAAUUCCGAUGUUCUAAUCAGAGAUCACAAGUUUUGGGUAACAAAAUUGAAAUGGAAAUCACACAAUUGGUCGAACAAAAUCCAUCGUUAUUACGACUCGGACUUCAUUUCGAGUUCAACGACGCCAGACAUCGCGUGGCUGCACAUUUACAACGUAACAUCGAUAGGAUCUGUCGUGUGGAACCUAUGGAACGCGCAAAGGUCGUAGCAAUCGGUGUGGGUCGUGACACGUUCACCGUUCUUCAGUUAGAUGAUCGAAAAAAUCGAGCCUAGCGCUGAACACGGCGCAUACGGCAGUCCCGGCUCGGGGUGACGACAUCUUAACGCGAGUGGCGUUCGCCUAGAUCGCCUACGCCGUACGGGAAGGGCUUCCCGCAACUA